Pelobates cultripes (western spadefoot toad) is the source of this 85-nucleotide non-coding RNA. NCBI's taxonomy places the organism in Eukaryota, Metazoa, Chordata, Amphibia, Anura, Pelobatidae. The record is from the annotation of a GenBank genome assembly.
GUGACAGAGUGAGGGAGGGGGUGACUAGUGACAGAGUGAAUGAGGUGGUGACUGUCACUAGUCACCCCCUCCCUCUCUCUGUCAC